GUAAGCAAACCACAAUAUCCAGAUUUCAAAGCGAUUUCAGGACGUGGAGGACUGCCAUGGAGGUGUAUCCAACUGAUGUGAGAAAUAUCCAAAUGUCUGUGUUUGUAGCCAGCACUUUCUGCCAGAGGAUUUCGAAAUGGAACUGAAGUCUCAACUGAUUGGCUUGCCAUUUCAUCGAACGUUGAAAAGUGAUGCUAUUCCAUCGAUUUUUCCCCUUCACUUCAAAGAGGAAGGCAUCCGAUCAGUGCAGCAGAAAAGAGGACAAGCUGAGAGUCAGAUCCCAUCAACAUCUGCAGAGGCAUCAACAUCAAGCUCAGCACCAGGAAGUAGUAGGUCAUAUUAUAGGUCGAAGCAGUGGGUGCUGAAGAAAGUGUAGGAGAGGCUUGUCCAACUGGCUGUGGAGUGAAGAAAUGACCAGGCGGUUGCCUACAAGGAGCCAGAGUCACAGCCCCCUAAACCCAACAUCCCUCACAACAUCGCCACAGCGCCAAAGCCUGCUAAACCAGCUGCCAUUACCCAACAUAAGAUGAGGUUUAACAGCUGAUGAACAUUCUGGAACCUGCCUGAACAUUCAACCAACACAACAUCAAUAUUCAGUUAGACUGAUGUUGAAGUAUAAUAUAGAAUGUCUAGUAUGCUCACAACUGCAUUGUGGUUUAGAUAUUGCUAGCUGUUGUACAUAUGUACAGUAUAUGAUGGUGUUUUAUAUAUAUUUUGAAAUUACAAGUGUACUGACAGAGACUAAAUGAUUCCACCUGCAUCAGACACCAAUAAAGUGUUGACUUCAACUUCUUGAUCAAUUCAUUGUAAUUUUCAUAAAAUGGGUUUGGAUAAACUAGCUUCAGUUUUACUGUUAAACAAA
Coregonus clupeaformis (lake whitefish) is the source of this 862-nucleotide long non-coding RNA. RefSeq lists it as uncharacterized. NCBI's taxonomy places the organism in Eukaryota, Metazoa, Chordata, Actinopteri, Salmoniformes, Salmonidae. The record is from RefSeq and is a predicted model, not a curated record. The transcript has 3 exons.